This 253-nucleotide ribosomal RNA is filed under the name uncultured bacterium. Its description in RNAcentral is "partial 16S ribosomal RNA". It matches the Rfam family "Bacterial small subunit ribosomal RNA", at positions 524 to 776 of the family's 1533-position model. The record is from RNAcentral.
UACGGGGGGGGCAAGCGUUGUUCGGAAUUACUGGGCGUAAAGGGCGCGUAGGCGGCCUUCUAAGUCGAACGUGAAAUCCCUGGGCUCAACCCAGGAACUGCGUCCGAGACUGGGAGGCUAGAAUCCGGGAGAGGGAUGUGGAAUUCCAGGUGUAGCGGUGAAAUGCGUAGAUAUCUGGAGGAACAUCGGUGGCGAAGGCGGCAUCCUGGACCGGUAUUGACGCUGAGGCGCGAAAGCCAGGGGAGCAAACGGG